CCCUUAGAUGUUCUGGGCCGCACGCGUGCUACACUGAGUGGAUCAGCGGGUCAGGUUGCGCGAAAGUGUUUCCUAAUCUUUAAAUCCGCUCGUGAUGGGGAUUGACGGUUGCAAUUUUCCGUCAUGAACGAGGAAUACCUUGUAAGCGCGGGUCAUCAUCCCGCGCUGAAUACGUCCCUGCCCUUUGUACACACCGCCCGUCGCUCCUACCGAUUGAGUGGUCCGGUGAGGCUUUGGGAUCUGAGCGGAAAGAGCGUUUCGCUGUUUCUGCCCGGAAAACUCAGUCGAACCUUAUCAUUUAGAGGAAGGCGAAGUCGUAACA
This 322-nucleotide ribosomal RNA is filed under the name uncultured eukaryote. RNAcentral's name for it is "partial 18S ribosomal RNA". It matches the Rfam family "Eukaryotic small subunit ribosomal RNA", at positions 1470 to 1796 of the family's 1831-position model. The record is from RNAcentral.